GUGCUCACUUUGGCAGCACAUAUACUAAAGUUGGAACGACACAGAGAAGAUUAGCAUGGCCCCUGCGCAAGGAUUCUCACUUGAGUCCUUAAUGGCUUAA
RNAcentral lists this small nuclear RNA (100 nucleotides) under Moschus moschiferus (Siberian musk deer). The record is from RNAcentral. Lineage: Eukaryota; Metazoa; Chordata; Mammalia; Artiodactyla; Moschidae.